Ictidomys tridecemlineatus (thirteen-lined ground squirrel) is the source of this 73-nucleotide non-coding RNA. The record is from Rfam. Lineage: Eukaryota; Metazoa; Chordata; Mammalia; Rodentia; Sciuridae.
GGAGAUAUAGCUCAGUUGGUAGAGUACUUGCCUCCCAUGUACAAGGCCCUGGGUUCAGUCCCCUGCACCACCA